GAUGAACGCUGGCGGCGUGCCUAAUACAUGCAAGUCGAGCGAACGGACGAGAAGCUUGCUUCUCUGAUGUUAGCGGCGGACGGGUGAGUAACACGUGGAUAACCUACCUAUAAGACUGGGAUAACUUCGGGAAACCGUAGCUAAUACCGGAUAAUAUUUUGAACCGCAUGGUUCAAAAGUGAAAGACGGUCUUGCUGUCACUUAUAGAUGGAUCCGCGCUGCAUUAGCUAGUUGGUAAGGUAACGGCUUACCAAGGCAACGAUGCAUAGCCGACCUGAGAGGGUGAUCGGCCACACUGGAACUGAGACACGGUCCAGACUCCUACGGGAGGCAGCAGUAGGGAAUCUUCCGCAAUGGGCGAAAGCCUGACGGAGCAACGCCGCGUGAGUGAUGAAGGUCUUCGGAUCGUAAAACUCUGUUAUUAGGGAAGAACAUAUGUGUAAGUAACUGUGCACAUCUUGACGGUACCUAAUCAGAAAGCCACGGCUAACUACGUGCCAGCAGCCGCGGUAAUACGUAGGUGGCAAGCGUUAUCCGGAAUUAUUGGGCGUAAAGCGCGCGUAGGCGGUUUUUUAAGUCUGAUGUGAAAGCCCACGGCUCAACCGUGGAGGGUCAUUGGAAACUGGAAAACUUGAGUGCAGAAGAGGAAAGUGGAAUUCCAUGUGUAGCGGUGAAAUGCGCAGAGAUAUGGAGGAACACCAGUGGCGAGGGCGACUUUCUGGUCUGUAACUGACGCUGAUGUGCGAAAGCGUGGGGAUCAAACAGGAUUAGAUACCCUGGUAGUCCACGCCGUAAACGAUGAGUGCUAAGUGUUAGGGGGUUUCCGCCCCUUAGUGCUGCAGCUAACGCAUUAAGCACUCCGCCUGGGGAGUACGACCGCAAGGUUGAAACUCAAAGGAAUUGACGGGGACCCGCACAAGCGGUGGAGCAUGUGGUUUAAUUCGAAGCAACGCGAAGAACCUUACCAAAUCUUGACAUCCUUUGACAACUCUAGAGAUAGAGCCUUCCCCUUCGGGGGACAAAGUGACAGGUGGUGCAUGGUUGUCGUCAGCUCGUGUCGUGAGAUGUUGGGUUAAGUCCCGCAACGAGCGCAACCCUUAAGCUUAGUUGCCAUCAUUAAGUUGGGCACUCUAAGUUGACUGCCGGUGACAAACCGGAGGAAGGUGGGGAUGACGUCAAAUCAUCAUGCCCCUUAUGAUUUGGGCUACACACGUGCUACAAUGGACAAUACAAAGGGCAGCGAAACCGCGAGGUCAAGCAAAUCCCAUAAAGUUGUUCUCAGUUCGGAUUGUAGUCUGCAACUCGACUACAUGAAGCUGGAAUCGCUAGUAAUCGUAGAUCAGCAUGCUACGGUGAAUACGUUCCCGGGUCU
RNAcentral lists this ribosomal RNA (1372 nucleotides) under uncultured bacterium. RNAcentral's name for it is "bacterial SSU rRNA". It matches the Rfam family "Bacterial small subunit ribosomal RNA", at positions 28 to 1381 of the family's 1533-position model. The record is from RNAcentral.